GUGUUUUUUUCAGCAGUACAUAUACUAAAAUUGAAACAAUACAGAGAAAAUUAGUGUGGUCCCUGUGCUCACAUGCAAAUUUGUGAAUCAUUCCUUAUUUGA
Small nuclear RNA from Ictidomys tridecemlineatus (thirteen-lined ground squirrel), 102 nucleotides. Lineage: Eukaryota; Metazoa; Chordata; Mammalia; Rodentia; Sciuridae. The record is from Ensembl.